UCGAGAAUUUUUCACAAUGGGCGCAAGCCUGAUGGAGCGACGCCGCGUGGGGGAUGAAGGGCUUCGGCUCGUAAACCCCUGUCAUUCGCGAGCAAAAGCUGGGUGCUAAUACCAUUCAGCCUGAUAGUAGCGGAAGAGGAAGGGACGGCUAACUCUGUGCCAGCAGCCGCGGUAAUACAGAGGUCCCAAGCGUUGUUCGGAUUUACUGGGCGUAAAGGGUGCGUAGGCGGUUGGGUAAGUCUGAUGUGAAAUCUCCAGGCUCAACUUGGAAAUGGCAUCGGAAACUAUCCAGCUAGAGGAUUGGAGGGGGGACUGGAAUUCUCGGUGUAGCAGUGAAAUGCGUAGAUAUCGAGAGGAACACCAGUGGCGAAGGCGAGUCCCUGGACAAUACCUGACGCUGAGGCACGAAAGCUAGGGGAGCAAACAGG
RNAcentral lists this ribosomal RNA (428 nucleotides) under uncultured Verrucomicrobiota bacterium. RNAcentral's name for it is "bacterial SSU rRNA". It matches the Rfam family "Bacterial small subunit ribosomal RNA", at positions 355 to 776 of the family's 1533-position model. Lineage: Bacteria; Pseudomonadati; Verrucomicrobiota. The record is from RNAcentral.